RNAcentral lists this transfer RNA (61 nucleotides) under Pseudoniphargus salinus. RNAcentral describes it as "tRNA-Ala". It matches the Rfam family "tRNA". From Rfam's summary of the family: Transfer RNA (tRNA) molecules are approximately 80 nucleotides in length. Their secondary structure includes four short double-helical elements and three loops (D, anti-codon, and T loops). The record is from RNAcentral. Lineage: Eukaryota; Metazoa; Arthropoda; Malacostraca; Amphipoda; Allocrangonyctidae.
AGAGUUAUAGUUUAAUAAAAACAUUUAGCUUGCAACUAAAAAAUACAAUGCGUUGACCCUA